This 316-nucleotide long non-coding RNA is filed under the name Salvia miltiorrhiza (redroot sage). RNAcentral describes it as "long non-coding RNA (SMIL_LNC011355)". The record is from RNAcentral. Lineage: Eukaryota; Viridiplantae; Streptophyta; Magnoliopsida; Lamiales; Lamiaceae.
UCCUAGUAUUUUUUAAAAUCUCAGGGGGGCCCAAUGACCCCCCUGCCCCACCCCUAGCUCCGCCCCUGGUGGGGACGGUGGAGGGACUCGUGCAUACGGCAGACGUCCGCACGCGCGGUUCACCAAUGCGAGCUGGGAUACGCAGAGUGGCCUUGGAGAAUCCGGCAGCGGUAGCGGCAGUGGCAGCGGAUGCGGCGGCGGCAGGUGGGGGAGCCAUUGGGCUUGUGGGGUGAUGGGGUAGAGCCAGAGGGUGAGGAUCAGAAUGGCGGCUGCUUCUAAUUUGAGGGCCAUUUUUUUUGCAAGUGUUUGUUGAAAU